UACGGAGGAUCCGAGCAUUAUCCGGAUUUAUUGGGUUUAAAGGGUGCGCAGGCGGGAGAUUAAGUCGGCGGUGAAAUUUUGCAGCUCAACUGUAAAAGUGCCUUCGAAACUGGUUUCCUUGAGUGUAGAUGAAGUAGGCGGAAUUUGUGGUGUAGCGGUGAAAUGCAUAGAUAUCACGAAGAACUCCGAUUGCGAAGGCAGCUUUCCGGGGUACGACUGACGCUGAAGCUCGAAAGUGCGGGAAUCAAACAGGAUUAGAUACCCGGGUAGUCCCU
RNAcentral lists this ribosomal RNA (275 nucleotides) under uncultured prokaryote. RNAcentral describes it as "partial 16S ribosomal RNA". It matches the Rfam family "Bacterial small subunit ribosomal RNA", at positions 524 to 798 of the family's 1533-position model. The record is from RNAcentral.